This 253-nucleotide ribosomal RNA is filed under the name uncultured bacterium. Its description in RNAcentral is "partial 16S ribosomal RNA". It matches the Rfam family "Bacterial small subunit ribosomal RNA", at positions 524 to 776 of the family's 1533-position model. The record is from RNAcentral.
GACGUAGGAUGCGAGCGUUGUCCGGAUUUAUUGGGCGUAAAGAGUUCGUAGGUGGUUUGUUAAGUCUGGUGUUAAAUACUGAAGCUCAACUUCGGAACUGCACUGGAUACUGGCAGACUUGAGUACGGUAGAGGCGAGCGGAAUUCCCAGUGUAGCGGUGAAAUGCGUAGAUAUUGGGAAGAACACCGGUGGCGCAAGCGGCUCGCUGGGCCGUUACUGACACUGAGGAACGAAAGCUAGGGGAGCAAAUGGG